UCUCCGUUGGUGAACCAGCGGAGGGAUCAUUACUGGAAUCGCAAGAUCCCACAACCCCUGUGAACCUACCGAAACGUUGCCUCGGCGGGCGCCCGGCCCCGCGCCGGGCGCUGAGCCCGCCGGCGGCCCCCUACUCUUGUCUCUGCAGCGUGACAUCUCAGAGUCCCAGAAAACAAGUAAAAACUUUCAACAACGGAUCUCUUGGCUCUA
Molecule: unclassified non-coding RNA, 210 nt
Filed under: plant metagenome
Description: partial contains small subunit ribosomal RNA, internal transcribed spacer 1, and 5.8S ribosomal RNA
Source: RNAcentral